UACGUAGGAUGCAAGCGUUGUCCGGAUUUAUUGGGUUUAAAGGGUGCGUAGGCGGCUUAUUAAGUUAGAUGUGAAAACGUUCGGCUUAACCGGUUACCCGCCAUUGAUACUGAUAGACUUGAGUGCGACAGAGGGUGUUGGAAUGUGUGGUGUAGCGGUGAAAUGCUUAGAUAUCACGCAGAACACAAAUUGCGAAGGCAGAUGCCUAUGUCGUAACUGACGCUGAGGCACGAAAGCGUGGGGAGCAAACAGG
Molecule: ribosomal RNA, 253 nt
Filed under: uncultured bacterium
Lineage: Bacteria
Description: partial 16S ribosomal RNA
Rfam family: Bacterial small subunit ribosomal RNA
Source: RNAcentral